CCCAGCUGAUGUCACAAGGUCUGGACAACCCUUCACAAGCCACUAAAAGGCUCAACCUGUCCCUGUCCUCACCAUUCAAUAUCCUGAAGGCAUAGAGGGUUGGAAAUAGAAGAUGAGAAAUCCUGGCUCUGGGUGCCCAGUUCAGGCAGGUCAGAGGCUUCAGGCUGCAUGGGUGCCUUAGGGCUUAGGUGCCAAGAAGCACCAUCCUGGCAGCCUUGGUGAUCCAGAGACAGCACUGAGUGCAAGAGCAGAAGGGCGGUGAUGAGGUCACCCUGUUCUCUUGGCUCCUUGUCUUGGAAGCCAAGGUCACUCCUGCUGGGCAUCCUAAGCAGGGAACCCCUCUGCCUCGCUCCUGCUCCCGGGAGAAUCUCUCUGGAUCCCCCAUUCACCGGCGAGGGAAUGCUUGAGUGGGCACCGAGAGGCGGCGACGUGGCAGCUGCACGCACCCCACCUCUGCAGACCGGGUUCGAGGCUCCC
Alexandromys fortis (reed vole) is the source of this 477-nucleotide long non-coding RNA. RefSeq lists it as uncharacterized. The transcript is spliced from 3 exons. The record is from RefSeq and is a predicted model, not a curated record. Lineage: Eukaryota; Metazoa; Chordata; Mammalia; Rodentia; Cricetidae.